Molecule: long non-coding RNA, 7942 nt
Organism: Artibeus jamaicensis (Jamaican fruit-eating bat)
Lineage: Eukaryota; Metazoa; Chordata; Mammalia; Chiroptera; Phyllostomidae
Exons: 7
Source: RefSeq, a predicted model, not a curated record
CAGCCACCCAGGAAGGAAGCAUUUGUUCCUUUCAGACCAAGGACCUGGCUGGCCACGUGGCCACGCUGCUGAAAAGCUCUAUGCCACAUAUAAGUGAGCUCCUACACUAUUUGUGCCUCUCUGACGGAUGGAUUUCACCAGGCCAUUUGUUUCCUUCUUCCUCAGCAUCUGCCUGGCACUGAUGAGAACUCUCCUGAAUCCUGGAGUAAAGGCACAGUUUACCCUGCCCGCAAGCAGAAGUUGAAGGAAAUUACAAAGCAAACUCUGCAUAAUGAACAUCUUGCCAGGAAAAUGUGUCUGAUCCCCAAGGAAAGGGGGUUGGAUGAGACCAGAGAUGGCAGCGGCAUUUUCUCUGUCACAAUUUGGAACUCUUUGUCAACAACAGCUCCCUGUUUUGAAGCGUAUAGAAGCCAUCUCAAGAAGCAAGGACGUUCUGGAGACAGAAUUGGACAGAGAGAACCACAGACGAGGAUGUUACUCAAAACAGCUCACUUUUCAUCUCAGUAUUGUCAGAAUUUUUCCUUGCAUCCCACACUCACUAAUCACAGCGCUGUAUAGAAGACAAACCUUUUCCAGAUGCUUUGGUGAAUUUACUGUUUUUUCCCUUAUAGAGAUGAUAACUAACUUUUGAGAAGGGCUUUACAAUUUAAAAAGCAUGCAACUUUUCAUUUUCAUAAUAAUCCUUUGAAGUUGCAUAAUAAUAAAAAUAAUAUCGUAAUUGUUGUUAUGCUUAUUUUUAUAAAUAUAAAUGCUAAAGCACAGACUCUAGUCAUCCAAGUAAUUAGUGGUGGAGCAGAAAUUUUAAAAUGCAAACAACUGAACCCCAAAUUCCCUGCUUUCCUUCCUCCUUUUGGAAUGACAAUGGGAUAGAAUAACACAUGCAUAAUUUAAUCAUUAAUAAAUUGAUUUUUUUAGUAAGAGCGUAGAGAAAUGCAAUACGUCAUUUUGUGUAUUCUUUAAAAUCCUUUGCUCAGAGAACUUAAAGUUUAUAUUUUCACGUGUAUGGACUUACACAAUACUUGUACUGUUUUGAAAUAUUUAGGAGAGGGGGAAAUGUAGUUCUCUACCAUGAGAAUAAACGAACACCAUCAGGCGAGGGGCUGACCCCACCCAAGCACCCUGACUGCUCCAUGCAUUGUUGGUGGCGUCUAUCAAAGUUGGCAAUGGGAGGCACUGGAACCAGCAUGCUGCACAUUCCGCUGGGAAUCUUCGCCAUCCCUCCAGAGUGCACCAAGGGACAGACUCUUCCUCCUCCUGUUGCUCCCUUUUGCCCCCCACUCAGUGCCUUCCAGAAAUCAGCCCGGGCUGUUAAUACUUGGUUUGUAGUGUGAAUACUGACCAUUUCUAUCUUACUGACGAGAGAAGUGAAACAAAGAGGGGUCGUCAGACAUCUACAGUGAAUCAGAAGAGGACGUCAGAAACUUCCCACAAAUGCUGUGUGCUUGCUUCUGAUGGCUUUAUGAGACUCUCUUUCAGCUAAAUUAAAAAAUGAACGUCAGAAAAAGAACCUUUGCAGCUUUUUUUUUAUCCCAAGGACUAGGCUCCCUUUCCAACCCAGAAUGGCUUCUCACGAAUACAGGCUAUUUUUCAACAACAGAUGGGUCUACAAGUGACAAGAGCCCUCCUCAUUCGUCUGGUGGCAUGUGGACUUCUUCAAUUGUCCAUGUGUUUCAGAUUGGUCUGGAGGGACCACACGACACUAAUGCAGUUUCCUCCUAAUGUGCUGCCUCUCUGUCAGCCCUGAUGUUCAGGCAUCCACAUUCAGACGCAGACCUCCAACAGGCCAGCAUGAGAGGCAUGGAGUUCAGUGGAGAUUUGCCAAAACCACGAGCCAGGAUUUGAGUGAGGGUAGUGAUAAUACAAUUUCAAUUUCAUACCAUCUGUCCCCAGAUUUCUUUCACUACCAGGAUGGUCACUGGCUUUGGAGAAUGGUCAAAAGGCUGGGGUUCUGGAAUGUUCUGCAUGGAGUUGAAGGGAGCAGGCAUCCCUGGAAACUCCAUGUCUGGUUCUUGCCAUGGGGAAGUGGCUAAGAUUGCUGCCUUCCAUUAAGAAGAGAUGUACUUGAAAGUCCUAAUGAAAACAGUGUUAAGCCUUCAGGAGCUGGCUCUGUGUCUGGGAGGCUGGGCAAGAGAUGUCAGAUUGCUCCACAGGCAAGAGGGAGAGAAAACAUAGGCAGCCUGGGAAAAGGGAGUAAAAGAUGUGCUGACAUUCUUCUCAGCAGGAAGCAUGCUUUCUUCUUGGGAGAGUAAAGCCUUACCACCUACUGUUGAACUGCAAGCCCCUUCCAACCUCUUUCUCCAGGGACGUCUCACCAUUCCAAUAGGAGCCUAAGCCAUACAACAAAAACAACAACAAGAAAGGCUUUUUUUGGCCACUGAGUCAGAGAUUUUUUUUAAAUGGUGGAUUAUUUUACACAAGCUCUUGGGUGAUUAUUUUCUUUGCUCCCAGGCAAUCUGGAUUAAUUGAUACAAUAAAGGUCUUGGAAGCCCUAAAAUGUUGGUCCAAUUCCCAACUCUGACACAAAGAAGCUAGUCGAGUUGCAAGAGAAUAUGUAGAAAUAUCAACAACAAUUUUCCUAUCUGCAAAACAAGGUUGGGGCACCACUGGGAAUGCUGUGGCAUGAAAAAAGUCGUGUUCCAAAUGCUAAGUAGUCAGCAGUUGGCGUUCCGCACUGAGUCUCUUGACAUAAGUAAGCUGAUUGCUCAUGAGAUGAUAAUACUGGCUUAGCUUUUAAACGUGGGCUUCAAAAGUAUAAGUUUCAAAGUCAUCAGAGAAACAGAAUAUUGCAAGUAGAAAAAAACUUUAGGCAAGAAUCGCAAGGUCAACUUCCCUUAUUUCACUCAAGGCCCAGGGAGGUUAGCGACCUGGCCCAGGCCACCGACAGGGUUAGCGGCAAGCCAGGACGAGAAUGCUGGGCUUUUCCUUUGAUCUGCACCGUGUUCUAUAAACUAAGUUGUUUUGUGCAUACCUGCUUUCUGUGAGGAUUCCUGAGGGAAGGAUCAUAGCGUGGGUUUUUCAGGGACCUAGAUGGGUGAUUUGGGGGUCACGUGCAAGGGCACUCUUUGAGACAGCUGCCUUCCUAUCAUGUACAGCACUCAUUCCUUCAUGACAGAGAGGCCAGCAUCUCCUAUCAGUCGCCGAAGUCUUAGAAGGCAUGAAAAUAAACAAAGCCUGACAACUCUGUUCCCGUGUUAUGACCUGUUCACCUUCCUGCCACUUCCAACUUCACUCCUGUCUGAGUGGCCUCCAUGUUAUUGAAGUCAGCAGGCCUUCAGAAAUCAGGCAGCGUGCGCUGCAGCUGCCAGCAGGAAUGGCCAUGGGGCCGGUGGGUCUGGGCCCUUUAACUCCGGGUUAGCGCUGGCACAGGGGAACUGAGGCCACCAUCCAGACCACUUUUAGUCUCGAAAUUUUCUAGUGCUGCCCCUCCUGUUUUCUUAAUCAUUUCAUGUCUUAUAAUCACUAAGGUUUUCACUGAUCAAUAUUAUUUUUUGAAGCACUCAGGAGCCUACUUUCUUCUGGAACUGGAAUGUCCCAGCAGACAACGUGAAUGAGAGCCUUGGUAACCCCUUAAAAAUACUAAGUAAAUCCAAUUUACAGUUUACUGUGAAUGACAUUAACCAUCCUGUAUCAGAUUUAUUUCAAAUCAAAGUAGAAGCAACUUGAAUAAGCAUCUGUGAACUGGUGAACCAAAUGUGGUAUAUCUAUGCACUGGAAUAUUAUUUAGCAAUAAAAAAAAGCACUGGGAUACGUUGAAACAUAGAUGAACCUUAAAAUGUUACGUCAAGUGAGAGAAGGCAGACAAAAAAAGACCACGUGUUCUUUGAUUUCUUUUACAUGAAAUGCCCUGAAGAGGCAAAUCUAUAGACAGAAAGCAGAGUCGUGAUUACUAAGGGCGGGGAGUGGGAAUGCGGAGUGACUGCAAAUGGGCACAAGGUUUGUUGUAAAGUCAGAUAAUGGUGAUGGUUGCACAAGUCUGUAAACUUUCCAAAAUCAUUGAAUUGAACACUUCUGAUAAGUGAAUUUUAUGGUUUGGAAGUCAUACCUCAAUAAUGCUUUAAAACAAUCAUGCAACAGACUCCCCAGCUCUUAGCACAGAGGCCAUCUUUGGAGUGAUGACUGGUGCGGCCGCGACACCGGACUGCUGGAGCAUCAGAGUUUCCCUCAGCCCCUGCACCGCUCAUGGAGAGCCAUCAACCUGCAAGUCAGGGCCGGACAUGAUGCAACAAUUUACAAAAUCAACGAGCUGCUCUUGCCAGGUGAAGUCUGACAAAAGCCUCAGUUCAGGGACAAGUGCACUCAAAGGGAAAAGCUCUCGGCAGUGGCAACAAUUUAGAUUUGCAAUUAAGACACUUAAAGUGUUUAGGGCUGACAAGGAGUUAAAGUAAAUGUUGAUUCAGUUGUAAAGUUUUCAGAGCCACAGCCUUGCAAAGGGUCUUGCACAACUGCCGGGUUUUAUUCAUUUAUGCACUGUUAUUGUCUUAAUAUUCUCUUUGUUUUUCCCCAGAAAAUUUCCAACUAGCUCUGGGACCCUUAGCAGGGGAGACUGGAAACAGGUCUGAAAAAUGCAGUCAAGAUAAUUUCAAAAAAUCACCCUUUAACGAGUACCAUAUUCCCUCCAAUUUUCCCUUAUAUGUGAUCCACCAUUUUGCAAAUACUGAUGUAUAAAGAAUGCAUUGAAUGUGGCAAAAGUUGAAGAUAGCCCCUGUGGAUAAGACCUAAUGGACACCAUCCUGAAAUAAUACAUAUAGCUCAGCCUCCAGACAUGUGUCUUCAAUUUAAAAUAAUUCAGCAAUCAUGUUCAACCAAAACCUGAUUACACAAAAUGGGACUUUUUAACUCCCAGACUUGGAUCAAAUUUUGAGGCCACAAAAAAAAGGGGAGGGGGAGAUAAUGUGUACCAUGUUUAUAUACUCCAGAUACUGUGAUUAAAAAAUCCACAUACAAAUUUAACUGUUUCUUUGAGCUUAUCAAAGCAAAAUUAAUAUUUUCCUCCUAUAAAUAUUUGUCUCGCCUUUAUGAGAACAUGUGUGAAAGCCCUGGGCUGAGAGGCAAAGGGAAGGGGAGAAAGCCGAAAGCCAGUUGGGUUCCUCUGUUGGAAUAUUAUGGUUUCCAAAGCACUGGACUAGGUCUCAUUCUUCACUUUCUUAGAGGCCCAGGAGGAAGGAGACGGGACUGGGCAGAGCAGGCUCUCUCUGGGGUGGCACUGGAUUGCCCCACACAAGCUGUGGUCCUCAGAUGAUGCUCUGUCCAUCCUCUUCUAUCUUCACUUUGCUGCCAGAUGCCUCCCUUCUCCCUUCUCCCCAGGGCUGCUCUCCUUCUUAUAGAUCUUGUGGGUUAAAAGAAGAAAGCAGGACCAUGUUGGGCGCUGGCUGAGUGUAGAGUUCCUGUUGUCUCAGAUUCUGACUCCUGGGUCUGAAUUGGGGAGGGGCAGGCAAAGAAGAGCAUGAGUAAAUGAAACACACAGAUCAUCUUUGAACCAUCAAGCUCCAGGACUUUUUUUGCUCCAAAAGCUGCUGAUUUGUGAAUUUUGCCUUCUCUUAUCUUGCAUAUUUUCUCUUUGGAUGAAAGCAGAGAAAAUGAAGCUUUGCUGACAGUGCCCAGCUCUGAGCCUAGACCUCCAACACUUCUGCUCUUCCCCUUGGAAUUCUGCUGGGAUGCCAGGUUCCAGCCACAGAUAUUUCUGGGUGCCCACUGACAUUCAUUUGCUGGCAGUACAUAUAGGGAUUCCAACUCCAGGGGCAAAUCUUGAUGAAAAAGCCAGUAGUGGUGACUGCAGUCCCUUCGUGCCAUUGAACAAGAGUGAACAUGUGGCCUGCUUCUGACUGACUUACAAGGGUGGGCCCACUAGAGGGCUUUUGUAAAAGAAUUCCUUCUUUUUUUUUCUGGAGGACAGAAACACCGGAACAUAUAGUCUUGUUCUGAUUUUGCUUGCUGUCCACCAUCUUGCAGCAAUGAAGGGGGCCUACCUGAGGCUGAUGGUAACCCCAAGGAGGGCAGAGCACAGACAGUGAGAUCCCUGGGAUCCUCAGAUGCUGCGAGAGAACCAUGCUCGCAGUCUAUGCUGUUUUUCCUUGGAAUUUUCCCCUUUGUCUAAGCCAGUUGGAUUUGUUUUUAAACUAGCAGCCAAAAGUCUUCUAAUGAAUGGAGAGUCACCAUUAUCAGUUAAAGGGGUCUGGGCAUCUGGUUGCUGAGUCCUAUAUUCCUACAAAAUACAAAGUGAAAGCCCUUCAUUCCCACAAUGAACAAGCUAAGUGGUCGGAGGGCCCUGAGGCUGAACCCCAGGGGCAGGCCCCAACAUUGGGGGCCCGCUGUUUCUGAGCCACUCCUGAUUCUCUGGCAGUCUUCAGCAGCAGGGGUGAAUGCAGGGUAGGGGUAAUGGGAAAAGACCUUUGGGAAGUUCUGGGGAACACGACUGAAGUGUGGUCACAGCUCCAAGGAGACAACAUAUGUUGUGCUUGAGGGCAUCCUCCCUCCAGCUGGUCCCCACAUCUCCUCCCCACUCCUCUACUCCCAGGAACCACCCGCCUUUAUUCAGCAGGGACACCCAGAAUAUUUAACAGCUGGUAGGCCCAGACGAAGAGCAAUCACAACAGAGGCUGCUGCAGUUCUGGGGUAGGCUCUUGGAGCCCUCUGUUUUGGGCUCAUGGGGAAGUUGGGAGUCAUUGUGGGGAAAGAGUGUCCUUGAGGAAGGGUCAGGGGAGACAGGGUAGAAGAUGGAUAUUGUGGGGCAGAUGGAUGGGCAGUUGAUAUAGUGAGUGUUUACCAGUUUGAACUCAUUUUUCAAAACUUAAGACAAAUUAUAACAUCCUGUUUAGCCAUUCUGGGGCAUAGCAGGACUAUUCUACAGGGUCCAGCAGAAGUAAUGCCUACUUGAGUGUGGUUGGUAGAAUUAUAAUAUGGGUGUAAUAAUUUAUAGGCUUAAUUUGGAUAUUUCACCUAAAAUGUCAUAUGGUGUGCUUGAGUGUGAUAGUGUUAUGUUAUAGAAUUACAUGCUUAUGAUUUUGUAGUAAAAGGUAUUGUAAUACAACGUGGGGCGUUAUUUAUGCCAGACCCUGCAUUCUAAUGCGUACAAUAUUCUGUGUGUGUUCUGCAGCCAGCAGACCCCAGAGGCCAAGGGCAACUGUGAUGCUUACUCAUUUGCAUAUACUCAGCCCUCAGCACAACCCCCAUCACACAGGCCAUCUCAACACAGUUGGAUGAAUGAAAUAGAAUCACCAAUGUAAACCAAAACACAUUCUCUUAGCCUAGUCCAGAUUCUGAAUAAGGAAGAAUCUGACGGGUCACAGCCAUUUUCCUCUGAAACAAUCAUUGCUUUGGAGCAGAGUUAUGGGGAGCUAAGGUGACCUCUGACGUUCCGACCCCCUUCACCCUGAGAUAGCUCAAGAUUAAACUGUCUCAUGGAGGAGAGCAGAUGGCAGACUUGCUGCGGGGAGAGAGCAGCCCCCUGUGUCUCGCAGGCCGUGGAGCACGCUGUGCCCUGAGCUGCCGGGCCUCCAUCAUCAUUAGUGAUUCAACAGUUCUCAUUUGACUGAGAAAAGGCGCAAAGGCCCGCUCCCCACAACCUUGCCCUGGGGAACUCCUAAAAUAAGCCUGGAAUCCCAGGACUUGGACACGGUCUACUUCUCCGAGGCACUGCUGCCGUGUCCUAUUCAUCCUUCCCCCAAUGCCACGCAUGGCAGGGGGUCAGGGGCCAUCUGCUGGGAGUGAGGGUGAGGGAAUGAAUGAAUGUGUGAAUGAAUGAAUGAGUGAGGGCACCCUCCUUUGCAAGUUUGGGUGGAGAAUGCAUGAAAGGAACUUUGGAGUCCUAUUAAUGUGUGUUCACGUCCAAAUCUUGUCAUUUAAUGGCUAUUGACUUCAGGUAAACUUCUUCACUUCUGUAAGUUUGUUUCUUGUGUACAAAUAGGUAUAAUAAAACUGACGUUUCAGGUUCACAACUCAUGUA